Molecule: RNA transcript, 1494 nt
Organism: Ceratina calcarata
Lineage: Eukaryota; Metazoa; Arthropoda; Insecta; Hymenoptera; Apidae
Gene: Lamtor2
Gene name: Late endosomal/lysosomal adaptor, MAPK and MTOR activator 2
Exons: 4
Source: RefSeq, a predicted model, not a curated record
GAGGCAACGAUAGUGCCCUCUACCGGGACUUGGAACUUGGAUAUGCGGAUACGCGCGUACCUAUAGCGCUAACCUAACCUAUAUUCAGUAUCAUUCUCUCUUGUCAUGCUCUUUCGAUGCAAACUUGAAUUUAUAAGAAAAUUGGUCAAAAACGAUCCAUUGUUCCUUUUCACAUAUAUGCAAUUCUAUUUAAUUUUGAUGGUACUGUAAUAAUUUGUUGUACGGAACAGAACCAUGAAACGGUCAGUGUCGAUACUUCUUGCCGAGUGAUAUCGAGUAUAUGACGCGAUCAGACGCCAUCAAAUAUUGAGUCAAAGCACUUGUCCACAUAACCUGAGCAACCUGAAAUACCCGAACGAUAUCAUAUAUUUCCGUGUGAAAUUAUGUUGAAACCAAAAGCUUUGACACAAGUACUCAGUCAAGCUAAUACUGGCGGUGUCGAAAAUACAUUAUUAUUGAAUCGAGAUGGUGGGUUAUUAGCGUACAGUGGUUACGGAGACAAAGAUGCAAGAGUGACUGCCGCUAUUACGAGUAAUAUUUGGUCGGCUUAUGAAAAGAAUGGACGGAACGCGUUCAAGGAAGAUGAAUUACAAUUUGUGUUAAUGGAUUGCGUGGAGGGCAAAGUCGUGAUCACCGAAGUUGCAAACCUGUUGUUAUGUCUAUACGCCAAAGAAAAUGUUGGGUUCGGCUUGUUGAGAGAGAAAGCUCAAGCCUUGGCGAGAUAUCUCGAUCAACCGUUAAAAACGAUAGCUAACAUGCCUUAGAAUUCGUGUUUAGAUAUAUAAAAUAAUUAAAGUGAUCAGAUGGAACUUGUUUUUGAUACGUGCGAUAUUGCAAAUAUUUAUUAAACAAUUAUUUCUAUAAUACCGUGUAUAGUAAUAUCGAUUCAAUUGGGAUUUUACAAACUUUCACCAAUGUAAUUCGGACAAUAUAUACUACGGAAAUCAUUGCAUCGGAGUUUAUUUAUCAUUUCGUACGUCUUCGUUCGGAAGCGAAACGCAAGGAAAUAAAUAGAGACCAGCGUGUCAAAUAAUUCGAUCUCGUGAACCUCGUUACAUACGUUAUAAAAGGUACUGAAACGAGCCUCAUCGCUUUCAUUGGAACUGAUCGUCAUACGAUUUGAAAUUCAUUACGCUAUUUUAAGAUAUAUUCUAUAUAGGUGAAUAUGCGUAGCUAUGCGACGCGAUUCUAUAGUCUCGUUAUCGUUACUUAUUUUCUCGUACUACUACUACUACUACUACUACUACGACGUCCGAACGUACGUCAGUUAUGAUUACAAAUCUUUUCAUGGAGAUAUAGAGCGUGAAGUUUUUCGACACGAGUAGUCUUCGGACGUACAGAACUGAACAGAAUAAUAUUGCAUGGAACUAAAUUCAUUCGUGGCGCGUAUGAUUAAUAUUUAAAGUAAUUAUCAAACGUGUACAUGGUUUACAAAUGGAAUUGCUUUUAUUUCAGAUUCUGCAUUUGCCUGCGAAUAAAUUCUUAUUUGCGUCA